UCCACUUCACUCCAAUAACUUUUCUGCCUUCAGGUUUAUCAACUAAUGUCCAGGUAUUGUUUUUCUAAAUCAUUGACAAUUCCUCCUCCAUGGCCUUCUUCCAUUUGCUGUCUUUGAGUGCCUCUUCAUAUCCAGCAGGUUCAUAAAAUGCAAUGUUGCAUCUUUGAUAGAUGUCUGAUAGCAGCCUUGUGCCUCUAACUGGAGGAUCAUCUUCAAGUUCAUUCUGCCAUUGAGGAGCUAUUUGAUCUUCAGAAGGAGUGCUUUGCUAAAGAUUCUUCCAGUCCCAUUGCUCAUCUUCAUUGAAGUGAACAUCCCUUGUAAUUGAUAUCUUCUUUGUUUGUGGAUGAUACACUUUGUAUGCUUUGGAGACUAAGCUGUAUCCCACAAAUAUGCCUGGAAGUGCUUUCUUAUCAAGCUUGUCACGCUUGACCUGAGGAAUAUGGACAAAACACACACUGCCAAAUACUUUAAGAAAGUUCAGUGAAGGUUUAUAUCCAUACCAGACUUCAAAUGGUGUUCUUUCAUUCAAAAACUUGGCUGGAAGUCUGUUUUAAAGAAAGACUGCUGUAUUUGCUGCCUCUGCCCAGAAUUCUUUCGGCAACUCCUUGUCAUGCAACAUACACCUAGCCAUCUCCAUCACAUAUCUAUUUCUCCUUUCACUAACCCCAUUUUGCUCUGGAGUGUAGGGAGCAGUGAGCUGAUGUACAAUUCCAGCUUCUUCACAGAAUAGAUUAAAUGUUGUUGAAGUAUACUCCUUCCCAUUAUCUGAUCUUAUACUUUGAAUCUUGCAGCCACUCUGAUUUUCCACCAUCUUCUUGAAUUUCCAGAAGACUCCAGCAACCUCUGACUUGAACUUCAAGAAGAAAAUCCAGCACAUCCUUGAAAAAUCAUCAAUGAACACAAUGUGGUAGAGACUACCUUUCAGUGAUGGUGUUCUUUGAGGUCCUGCUACAUCUGUAUGAAUGAGUUGCAGCUUUUGAGAUGCCUUCCAGGAAGAUUUAGGAAAAGGCAGCCUCCUUUGUUUGCCAAAUUGACAAG
RNAcentral lists this long non-coding RNA (1038 nucleotides) under Populus tremula. RNAcentral's name for it is "long non-coding RNA (PTRE_LNC000984)". Lineage: Eukaryota; Viridiplantae; Streptophyta; Magnoliopsida; Malpighiales; Salicaceae. The record is from RNAcentral.